Molecule: long non-coding RNA, 561 nt
Filed under: Homo sapiens (human)
Lineage: Eukaryota; Metazoa; Chordata; Mammalia; Primates; Hominidae
Description: non-protein coding EAF1-AS1:4
Source: RNAcentral
UUAACUCAGUCUGACUGGAAGAAUUUAGGACCACUGCAUCCUGUCUUAAUCCAAGGGUGGAUCCUUAGGGUGUUGACUGCUGCAGUUUCAAGCUUACAUCUGCACCCUGCAGAAUCCAGAGGAAGAGACAAUGCCUGUUCCAGUGGCUCUCAAGAAAUUCUUUUCCAGCCAGGCAUGGUGGCUCAUGCCUGUAAUCCCAGCACUUUGGUAGGCUAAGUACUGGACUGGUUCUGAUGCUUUCACCAGUAACAGAAGCUCAAGCUGUGCUCAACUGACCCCCAAGGAUCCAGCCUGUCUCUGGGAUUCUCUAGGCCGUCCCGGAACUCCUACCAUGACCAGGGAAGUGUAGGGUUGGGGUUUGGCCCUAGACCUCUUAUCUGUCCACCUGCAAAGCCGUUUUAGUAACAGAUUUGGAAGCAAAGUAAGGUUUUUGAUGGCAGCUUGGUCACCAGCACUUCACUUAGGAACCAGUGCUGGGGAAGCGGAUGGGACAAUUUCUGAGUGUCUCCUGGGACAGACACAUAGGCCAUCGCUCCGCUAGGGGCAUGGAGGGUAUGUGUG